Molecule: long non-coding RNA, 430 nt
Organism: Bombus pyrosoma
Lineage: Eukaryota; Metazoa; Arthropoda; Insecta; Hymenoptera; Apidae
Exons: 3
Source: RefSeq, a predicted model, not a curated record
GCCGACAGAAAACUUAAUGACGCUCGUAAUCUGCCAGUCAAUCUUUUUCGUCUUGGACGAAUCGACGAAUCUUUUUCGAGACAUCGAUGAAUGAAAAUUCGAGGCAGUCAUUUUACUGAAUGGAUUAGAUCACGAGAGAAGAACGAUAAUUUAGGACUUAGAAAAUCGAUUCUCCAUUCGACAGAAUCGAUCGUCUUAUUUACCACAAGGAUUUACGUUAUUACACAUAUAAUGAAGCAGUAGAACCAUCAGUAACUAACAACUCCUCCAAAAAUAUCCUGAAAUAAUUGAUUUUACCGAAGAACAGAUUUAAUAUGUAUGCAGCUCUUCAGAACUCGCGUUAUCCAAGUAGACCAAUACGACCAUCCCGCUGAAUCACCCAGAUACACCUGCUGGAAUAACAUUGCCGUCAUUAUCGUGUCUCCUUCAC